UAGUUUGAUCCUGGCUCAGGAUGAACGCUGGCGGCGCGCCUAACACAUGCAAGUCGAGCGGCACCCCUCUCCGGAGGGAGGCGAGCGGCGAACGGCUGAGUAACACGUGACCAACCUGCCCUGCGCACGGGGACAGCCGCGGGAAACCGCGGGUGAUACCCGAUGGCGCCCGGGGCCCGCAUGGGCCCCGGGCCAAAGCCCCGGCGGCGCGGGAUGGGGUCGCGGCCCAUCAGGUAGACGGCGGGGUGACGGCCCACCGUGCCGACAACGGGUAGCCGGGUUGAGAGACCGACCGGCCAGAUUGGGACUGAGACACGGCCCAGACUCCUACGGGAGGCAGCAGUGGGGAAUCUUGCGCAAUGGGGGGAACCCUGACGCAGCGACGCCGCGUGCGGGAUGGAGGCCUUCGGGUCGUGAACCGCUUUCAGCAGGGACGAGUCAAGACGGUACCUGCAGAAGAAGCCCCGGCUAACUACGUGCCAGCAGCCGCGGUAAUACGUAGGGGGCGAGCGUUAUCCGGAUUCAUUGGGCGUAAAGCGCGCGUAGGCGGCCGCGCAGGCGGGGGGUCAAAUCCCGGGGCUCAACCCCGGUCCGCCCCCCGAACCGCGCGGCUUGGGUCCGGCAGGGGAGGGUGGAACGCCCGGUGUAGCGGUGGAAUGCGCAGAUAUCGGGCGGA
Molecule: ribosomal RNA, 676 nt
Filed under: uncultured bacterium
Lineage: Bacteria
Description: bacterial SSU rRNA
Rfam family: Bacterial small subunit ribosomal RNA
Source: RNAcentral